UACAGAGGGUGCAAGCGUUGCUCGGAAUUACUGGGCGUAAAGCGUACGCAGACGGUAAGAAAGGUCGGAUGUGAAAGCCCCGGGCUCAACCCUGGAACUGCAUCCGAAACCAUCUUGCUAGAGUAUGGGAGAGGGAAGCGGAAUUCCUGGUGUAGAGGUGAAAUUCGUAGAUAUCUGGAGGAACACCGGUGGCGAAGGCGACAUCCUGGACCAACACUGACGCUGAGGAGCGAAAGCCAGGGGAGCAAACGGG
RNAcentral lists this ribosomal RNA (253 nucleotides) under uncultured bacterium. RNAcentral describes it as "partial 16S ribosomal RNA". It matches the Rfam family "Bacterial small subunit ribosomal RNA", at positions 524 to 776 of the family's 1533-position model. The record is from RNAcentral.